RNAcentral lists this ribosomal RNA (497 nucleotides) under uncultured bacterium. RNAcentral describes it as "partial 16S ribosomal RNA". It matches the Rfam family "Bacterial small subunit ribosomal RNA", at positions 28 to 507 of the family's 1533-position model. The record is from RNAcentral.
GAUGAACGCUGGCGGCGUGCCUAAUACAUGCAAGUCGAGCGAACAGACGAGGAGCUUGCUCCUCUGACGUUAGCGGCGGACGGGUGAGUAACACGUGGAUAACCUACCUAUAAGACUGGGAUAAAUUCGGGAAACCGGAGCUAAUACCGGAUAAUAUAUUUAACCGCAGUGUUCAAUAGUGAAAGACGGUUUUGCUGUCACUUAUAGAUGGAUCCGCGCCGCCUUAGCUAGUUGGUAAGGUAACGGCUUACCAAGGCAACGAUGCGUAGCCGACCUGAGAGGGUGAUCGGCCACACUGGAACUGAGACACGGUCCAGACUCCUACGGGAGGCAGCAGUAGGGAAUCUUCCGCAAUGGGCGAAAGCCUGACGGAGCAACGCCGCGUGAGUGAUGAAGGUCUUCGGAUCGUAAAACUCUGUUAUUAGGGAAGAACAAAUGUGUAAGUAACUAUGCACGUCUUGACGGUACCUAAUCAGAAAGCCACGGCUAACUACGUG